This 165-nucleotide ribosomal RNA is filed under the name Homarus americanus (American lobster). Its description in RNAcentral is "5.8S ribosomal RNA". It matches the Rfam family "5.8S ribosomal RNA". From Rfam's summary of the family: 5.8S ribosomal RNA (5.8S rRNA) is a component of the large subunit of the eukaryotic ribosome. Lineage: Eukaryota; Metazoa; Arthropoda; Malacostraca; Decapoda; Nephropidae. The record is from Rfam by way of RNAcentral.
AACUCUUAACGGGGGAUCACUCGGCUCGUGGGUCGAUGAAGACCGCAGCAAACCUGCGUGUCGGUAUGUGAAUCGCAAGAAUACCAGAUACAUCGACAAGUUGAACGCAUAUUGCGGCGGCGGCAGCCAUAUGAGCUUGUCGCCGCCACUCCUCUACGAGGGUCG